UCUUUAUUUUAAAAAUUUUUAUUACUUAAGUAGUGUGAAUAUAUGAUUUAUAGAAAGUAAUGUAAAUUAGUUAAUUUUAGAAUGUUUGAAACUUAAAAGGCUUGGCGGUGUUAUAUGUCCUUCCAGAGGAGUUUGCUUAUUAAUUUGAUAAUCCUCAAUUUAUACUUACUUUUUUUUGAAUUUUAAAUAAAUUUAUCAGUUUGUAUAUUGCUGUCAUCAGUUUAUUUUGUAAAAAUUUUAUAAGAAACUUAAUAAUGUAAUGAUUAUUAUGUCAAGUCAAAAUGCAGCUAAUAGAAAAGGUUUAAAGUGAACUACAGUUUAUAAUUUUUAAGUCGGAUUAAGUUAUGUAAUUAAUUUAUAAAGUUGGAUUUGGUAGUAAUAUUAUAAUAGUGAGUUUUUAUGAAUUAGGUUUUAUAAUGCGU
This 422-nucleotide ribosomal RNA is filed under the name Sepietta oweniana. Its description in RNAcentral is "partial 12S ribosomal RNA". The record is from RNAcentral. Lineage: Eukaryota; Metazoa; Mollusca; Cephalopoda; Sepiida; Sepiolidae.